RNAcentral lists this transfer RNA (76 nucleotides) under Firmicutes bacterium CAG:124. Its description in RNAcentral is "transfer RNA-Arg(CCT)". It matches the Rfam family "tRNA". Rfam says of the family: Transfer RNA (tRNA) molecules are approximately 80 nucleotides in length. Their secondary structure includes four short double-helical elements and three loops (D, anti-codon, and T loops). Lineage: Bacteria; Bacillati; Bacillota. The record is from RNAcentral. RNAcentral also lists the same sequence under 4 other names.
GCCCCAGUAGCUCAGGGGAUAGAGCAUUCGCCUCCUAAGCGAAGGGUCGGACGUUCGAAUCGUCUCUGGGGUGCCA